UGGUGGCGGGCGUGCUAUACAUGCAGUCGAGCGGACAGAUGGGAGCUUGCUCCCUGAUGUUAGCGGCGGACGGGUGAGUAACACGUGGGUAACCUGCCUGUAAGACUGGGAUAACUCCGGGAAACCGGGGCUAAUACCGGAUGGUUGUCUGAACCGCAUGGUUCAGACAUAAAAGGUGGCUUCGGCUACCACUUACAGAUGGACCCGCGGCGCAUUAGCUAGUUGGUGAGGUAACGGCUCACCAAGGCGACGAUGCGUAGCCGACCUGAGAGGGUGAUCGGCCACACUG
Molecule: ribosomal RNA, 289 nt
Filed under: uncultured Bacillus sp.
Lineage: Bacteria; Bacillati; Bacillota; Bacilli; Caryophanales; Bacillaceae
Description: partial 16S ribosomal RNA
Rfam family: Bacterial small subunit ribosomal RNA
Source: RNAcentral